UACGACUCUCGACAACGGAUAUCUCGGCUCUCGCAUCGAUGAAGAACGUAGCGAAAUGCGAUACCUGGUGUGAAUUGCAGAAUCCCGUGAACCAUCGAGUCUUUGAAUACAAGUUGCGCCCGAGGCACCCGGUCGAGGGCACGUCUACCUGGGCGUCACGC
Molecule: ribosomal RNA, 161 nt
Filed under: Areca hutchinsoniana
Lineage: Eukaryota; Viridiplantae; Streptophyta; Magnoliopsida; Arecales; Arecaceae
Description: 5.8S rRNA
Rfam family: 5.8S ribosomal RNA
About the family: 5.8S ribosomal RNA (5.8S rRNA) is a component of the large subunit of the eukaryotic ribosome. It is transcribed by RNA polymerase I as part of the 45S precursor that also contains 18S and 28S rRNA.
Source: RNAcentral